This 58-nucleotide ribosomal RNA is filed under the name Syntrophus sp. (in: bacteria). RNAcentral describes it as "Syntrophus sp. (in: Bacteria) partial 23S ribosomal RNA". Lineage: Bacteria; Pseudomonadati; Thermodesulfobacteriota; Syntrophia; Syntrophales; Syntrophaceae. The record is from RNAcentral.
GCAAGCACAGUAAUGUGUUGAGCUUACUGAUACUAAUCGGUCGUGAGGCUUGACCAUA